UCCGAUUCCCCAUCCGAGUAACGAAUCGCCGUUGAUUUUUGUGCUGAGAUAUGUGUAUCUCCCGUUACAAAGACCUGAAGUUAGAAACCCAUUUAUUCGAUAGUAGUUGAAUUUUCUCUGGAAAUUAUGAUCAGUUUGUUCUAAUUUCUAAGCUUUGCUGGGAAACACCAAGUGUUUCUUUGUUUAUCCUUUGGACGUCUGCUUGAUAACAACAUUUUUUCCUUGCUUUUGCUUUUCUGAAUGUGUGUGUGUAGCUUUCGUCUUGUAUUAAAGAGGGAGGUGACACUUUGGUUAGAGGCAGAGUAUUUGUGAAACGAAGUCGAUGGAUUUAGAUUUCGAUGAUCAACCCUUGGAUCACGCUGCACCAGCAGCUAAGGCUGGUGCAAGGUUUAAACCGAAAGGUAGACCACAACCCAAGAAGAAGCAAGUCUCUCUUUUAACCUCCCAACCAACUCUCCCUACCGAUGUUGCCAAGGAAAAACUCUCAACACAAAGCGAACAUCUGGUUUCUGUAGAUGCAUCAUCGGCUUAUCCCAACAAGUUUUCAACUUCUGAGACUAUUGUGCCUGAUAGUGGAACCAUCAACCAGUCUACCGGUGGAACAAUAUCUAAAGAGAAUGUAGAUGUAUUCUUAGGAAGGGUUAGUUGGUGUAUGGAACCAUCUGUUCUUCGUGCUUGUACUAACGUGAAUUUGGAAGGAAAAAGAUGUGAUGAUGGCAUAAAUCCUGAUGAUCCUCGAGCACAAGAUUCUGCAGCGUUUGGAGAUUUUGUUACUCCUGAAACGGAUGAAGUUAUCCGUGUUCAAACUCAAAGGAUGCAAACAAGGGAGGAAGAGUCUCAUCUGGACAUGGAAACUCUUGAUAUUGUACAGGAGGAAGGCAUGACCAGAGCAUAUGAGCACCAUACUGGAAAGUUCCAGCCAAAGCCGAGGUUGCUCGACACUGUGAUUGAAGAACCUGAGUCUCAUUACUCUGUUGAUGAUACUGGUUAUUUUACAACGGGUACUAACGAGUCUGAGUUUAUGGCCAAUGUGGAAUCAAGAAACGAUUUCAAUACGAAUACUACAUUUUAUAGAGAGCUUCAAGAAGAACCCAGAGAAACGGUUCCUGAGAUGGAAGCGCAAAAUGCUUCUGGGGGACGGGAACACGAAGAACGGACAAACAAUACAGUUAUAGGAGAGGAAGAAAAUUGUUUGGGGAGUACUGUAGAAGAACGGCCUGGAAGAGAAAGGAAAAAAGGGAGAUCGAAGGGAGCUACUGCUCGAAAGCGGAAAAUCACCGGUGAAGAGGAUCCAAAUAAGACUAGCGAAAAUCCGCAGAAGAAGAAGUUCAAGCAUUCAAGUCGUCGACAGAGAAAAAGAACUGUGGAGAAGGAAUUGCUUGAAACCCCGGAUGACGAAAUCAGAUUUCUGCCUAUUAAAGAUAUGCUUCGCCUUGUUGAAUAUAAAGAAUGGAUGGAGAAAAAGGAAGCAAAGGGAGCUGCUGUUGUGCCGCCUGCCCAAGAAAGUAAUACAAAUGCAUCGGAUAACCAGUAUUAUUCUCAAGGUUUUGACGCAGAAGAUGAAUUUGGUAUAGAGGAGAACGAAAAUCAAGAAACUAACGUAGUUAAACCGGACUCACCGGUUAACUAUCAAACGUACAUGAACAAGACUUCCAGAACUCGAUGGUCAAAACAAGAUACCGAACUCUUCUAUGAGGGAAUUCAAGAGUUUGGGAGCAAUCUAUCGAUGGUACAGCAACUGUUUCCUAAUAGAACGCGUGAACAAAUUAAGCUGAAAUUCAAAUUGGAAGAACGCCGGUAUCCAUUGAAACUUAAUGAUGCAUUAUCAAGUCGGUCAAACACCUUACUCACUUCCAGAAUGUGAUUAAGAAGCUUCAACAAGAAGCUGCGGCUGCAAGGGAAGGAGAAGAAGAAGAAGAAGAAGAAGAAGAAGAAGAAGCUGGAGCAGAGGCAGAGACAACUACUGAUGUUCCCGAGAAUGAGGAGCCGACCAAGUCUGAGGAAACUGAGCGAGCUGGUGAUGGAAUAGCUGGAGUUAAGGAAUCGGACGGUGGGGAUAUUGAAAAUGGCGUGAGAUCGGACGGUGAAGAUGAGGGAGAUGAUGAUUUUUGGAAUUCUUAUAAAAGCGAUAUGUAAACUACAUAAACAAAUUAGUCUUUUGGUCGUAAUAAAAUCAUUACUUAGUUAUUUUUUCUUCUAAUUAAUCACGUUUAUUUAUUUUGAGUAUAAAUUUGU
Molecule: RNA transcript, 2235 nt
Organism: Eutrema salsugineum
Lineage: Eukaryota; Viridiplantae; Streptophyta; Magnoliopsida; Brassicales; Brassicaceae
Gene name: transcription factor TFIIIB component B'' homolog
Exons: 14
Source: RefSeq, a predicted model, not a curated record